This 97-nucleotide signal recognition particle RNA is filed under the name Gammaproteobacteria bacterium RIFCSPLOWO2_02_FULL_57_10. Its description in RNAcentral is "signal recognition particle sRNA small type". It matches the Rfam family "Bacterial small signal recognition particle RNA". Rfam says of the family: The signal recognition particle (SRP) is a universally conserved ribonucleoprotein involved in the co-translational targeting of proteins to membranes. Archaeal SRP consists of a 7S RNA and homologues of the eukaryotic SRP19 and SRP54 proteins. In most bacteria, the SRP consists of a 4.5S RNA and the Ffh protein (a homologue of the eukaryotic SRP54 protein). Lineage: Bacteria; Pseudomonadati; Pseudomonadota; Gammaproteobacteria. RNAcentral also lists the same sequence under 1 other name. The record is from RNAcentral.
UGCCGGUCCCCUCGCAAUGAUAAGCUGUGAACCCCGCCAGGCCCGGAAGGGAGCAACGGUAAUAGCUGACUCAUGUGCCGUGGUGUGGCUGGCAGGA